RNAcentral lists this long non-coding RNA (235 nucleotides) under Lotus japonicus. Its description in RNAcentral is "long non-coding RNA (LJAP_LNC000357)". The record is from RNAcentral. Lineage: Eukaryota; Viridiplantae; Streptophyta; Magnoliopsida; Fabales; Fabaceae.
CUCUGUUGAACAAUCACAUACAAAUCAACAUAACAUAGAUGAUGAAGAAUUAGAGGAUGAUUUGGAUUGCAUUUGAUUUAGAUGAAUAUAUGUAUUUGAUACUAUGUUUUUAAUUAUGCUUGACAUUUUACCAUGACUAUGUAUGGAUUCACUACUAUGGUUAUGUAUGUUGAUGAACAUAUCUUAAAUAUGAAACUUCAAAUCAAUAGUAUAUUUUGAAUUACUUCUAUUUAGG